GUGCCAGCCGCAGCGGUAAUACGUAGGGUCCGAGCGUUGUCCGGAAUUAUUGGGCGUAAAGGGCUCGUAGGCGGUUUGUCGCGUCGGGAGUGAAAUCCAGCAGCUUAACUGCUGGUCUGCUUUCGAUACGGGCAGACUUGAGGCAUUCAGGGGAGAACGGAAUUCCUGGUGUAGCGGUGAAAUGCGCAGAUAUCAGGAGGAACACCGGUGGCGAAGGCGGUUCUCUGGGAAUGUUCUGACGCUGAGGAGCGAAAGUGUGGGGAGCGAACAGGAUUAGAUACCCUGGUAGUCCACACCGUAAACGUUGGGCGCUAGGUGUGGGACACAUUCCACGUGUUCUGUGCCGUAGCUAACGCAUUAAGCGCCCCGCCUGGGGAGUACGGCCGCAAGGCUAAAACUCAAAGGAAUUGACGGGGCCCGCACAAGCGGCGGAGCAUGCGGAUUAAUUCGAUGCAACGCGAAGAACCUUACCUGGUUUGACAUACACCAGACGACAGCAGAGAUG
RNAcentral lists this ribosomal RNA (505 nucleotides) under uncultured Nocardioides sp. Its description in RNAcentral is "bacterial SSU rRNA". It matches the Rfam family "Bacterial small subunit ribosomal RNA", at positions 505 to 1008 of the family's 1533-position model. The record is from RNAcentral. Lineage: Bacteria; Bacillati; Actinomycetota; Actinomycetes; Propionibacteriales; Nocardioidaceae.